AACGAACGCUGGCGGCAUGCCUAACACAUGCAAGUCGAACGAGACCUUCGGGUCUAGUGGCGCACGGGUGCGUAACGCGUGGGAACCUGCCCUUAGGUUCGGAAUAACUCCCCGAAAGGGGUGCUAAUACCGGAUAAUGUCUUCGGACCAAAGAUUUAUCGCCUUUGGAUGGGCCCGCGUUGGAUUAGCUAGUUGGUAGGGUAAAAGCCUACCAAGGCGACGAUCCAUAGCUGGUCUGAGAGGAUGAUCAGCCACACUGGGACUGAGACACGGCCCAGACUCCUACGGGAGGCAGCAGUGGGGAAUAUUGGACAAUGGGCGAAAGCCUGAUCCAACAAGGCCGCGUGAGUGAUGAAGUCCUUAGGGUUGUAAAGCUCUUUUACCCGGGAUGAUAAUGACAGUACCGGGAGAAUAAGCUCCGGCUAACUCCGUG
This 433-nucleotide ribosomal RNA is filed under the name uncultured bacterium. RNAcentral describes it as "partial 16S ribosomal RNA". It matches the Rfam family "Bacterial small subunit ribosomal RNA", at positions 29 to 507 of the family's 1533-position model. The record is from RNAcentral.